RNAcentral lists this ribosomal RNA (477 nucleotides) under uncultured bacterium. RNAcentral describes it as "partial 16S ribosomal RNA". It matches the Rfam family "Bacterial small subunit ribosomal RNA", at positions 28 to 507 of the family's 1533-position model. The record is from RNAcentral.
GAUUAACGCUGGCGGCGUGCAUAACACAUGCAAGUCGAACGAUGAAGUUUAUUAGACUUCUUCGGAAUGAAAAUAAUUGGAAUAGUGGCGGACGGGUGAGUAACGCGUGAGUAACCUGCCUUACACAAGGGGAUAGCCGUUGGAAACGACGAAUAAUACCCUAUGAAACUAUCACUUCGCAUGAAGCGAUAGUCAACGUGUUAUCGGUGUAAGAUGGACUUUCGUCUGAUUAGCUAGUUGGUGAGAAAAAAGCCCACCAAGGCAACGAUCAGUAGCCGGCUUGGGAGAGUGUACCGCCACAUUGGGACAGGGACAAGGCCCAGACUCCUCCGGAAGGCAGCAAGGGUGAAUUAUGCACAAUGCGGGAAACACUGAUGCUGCGGGGCCGCGUGAUUUAGAAGGCCGUCGGGUUGUAAAAAUCUUUUGUAUAGGAAGAAAAUGACAGUACUAUACGAAUAAGGUCCGGCUAAUUACGUG